UACGGAGGGUGCAAGCGUUAUCCGGAUUCACUGGGUUUAAAGGGUGCGUAGGUGGGUUGGUAAGUCAGUGGUGAAAUCUCCAGGCUUAACUUGGAAACUGCCAUUGAUACUAUCAAUCUUGAAUACCGUGGAGGUCAGCGGAAUAUGUCAUGUAGCGGUGAAAUGCUUAGAUAUGACAUAGAACACCAAUCGCGAGGGCAGCUGGCUACACGAAUAUUGACACUGAUGCACGAAAGCGUGGGGAUCAAACAGG
Molecule: ribosomal RNA, 253 nt
Filed under: uncultured bacterium
Lineage: Bacteria
Description: partial 16S ribosomal RNA
Rfam family: Bacterial small subunit ribosomal RNA
Source: RNAcentral